Molecule: long non-coding RNA, 596 nt
Organism: Malaclemys terrapin pileata
Lineage: Eukaryota; Metazoa; Chordata; Testudines; Emydidae
Exons: 4
Source: RefSeq, a predicted model, not a curated record
UUUGCAGCACAAAUUCUGGAGCGGUACUUUAGGAUAUUAAAGUCUUGAUACCUGACUGAAACGUUUUCUUUAAAGAAACAAACCCUCAGCAGUCCCUGUAUGGGAAAGAUAAACAGAAGCUGCAGAAAUAACCUUUUGCGGGAUAAAUGGUCAGUGGCCACAUGAAUGCCAAUGUACAGCCUGUGCAAAGUGCUCUUUUUUAUCGGGUUCCCUCUGCCAACAAAUGGUGAAGAUGCAGGAGCUUACCCAGAGACAUGCGCCUGGAACUGACCUCUCUGCAGCUAGAGGGUGAUUUACCAUUGGAACAAACCAGAAAGGGAAGUAAUGGAUUCUCCAUCUUGUGUGGUCUUGAAUUGAAGACUGGAUGUCAUUCUGAAAGUUACAGCUCCUCUAGAUUUACCAUGUCUAUAGAUGAUGGUGUCAACUGCGCAGAGAUAAAACUGAGCCUCUGAGAAAGUAAAAUCAUUUGAUAUAUGAUAUCCUAAUAAAUAUAGAAGAGAACAUAAAUAUAAAAUGGAUUAAAUUUACUAGCAAAAUCAGUUGUGGAUUGCGAAACAUGGGUAAGAUUAACAGCAACAAGAGUGCUGCACAUCUGA